RNAcentral lists this long non-coding RNA (675 nucleotides) under Brassica rapa (field mustard). RNAcentral describes it as "long non-coding RNA (BRAP_LNC000309)". The record is from RNAcentral. Lineage: Eukaryota; Viridiplantae; Streptophyta; Magnoliopsida; Brassicales; Brassicaceae.
GCGGGUCGACUCAUUUUUUUUAUUCAAAACUUCGACCCGCAUGACCCGCAAAGAAAGAUUCACAUACCCUCACCCGCCCCGCCCAAGUUUGCGGGUAACCCGCAGGACCCGCGGAUAAUAUAAAUUUUAAUAAAAUAAUUAUUUUAAUUAUAGUUAAUUAUAUAAUACUUAUUUUCUAAUAAAUAAUAAAAUUAUAUAUUAUUUUCUGAAUUUAUAGUAUUUUAUAUAUUUUUUACGAAAAUAUAUAUUAUUUUUCGAAUUUUUUUUUUUUUUAUUUUUUUAUUUUUUGCGGGUUAGCGGGUACCCGCGAUUCAAAAUCGAUCGAUCCGCAUCCGCUCCGCAUAGAAUCGACUCGAUCCACACCCGUACCUGCAUGUUGAAUUUUUCGAAUUGGCCGACCCGCACCCGCCUCGCAGCAGAUCAAACGGAGCAGGACCCACAGAUAAAAACUAAAAUUUUCAGCUCUAGUAAAAUACCUUGUCAUUUAACCUAAUCAACAUGGGUUCGAAACUAGGGAUCUACUUAGUUUUGUUUUCAAAUGAAAUGACGUCAUUUCACUUAAUGUCAACAUUUAACGACAUUAAAUUUUUGCCGAAUUCCCGAAUAUUUUUGGAUAUUUUAAACUUAAUCCUCGCUUCCCACCGCUCAAGCUGAACAUUCUCUUGACGUGUCAAC